CCAGACUCCUACGGGAGGCAGCAGUGAGGAAUAUUGGUCAAUGGCCGAGAGGCUGAACCAGCCAAGUCGCGUGAGGGAAGACGGCCCUACGGGUUGUAAACCUCUUUUGUCAGGGAGCAAAGGGCGCCACGUGUGGCGUUUUGCGAGUACCUGAAGAAAAAGCAUCGGCUAACUCCGUGCCAGCAGCCGCGGUAAUACGGAGGAUGCGAGCGUUAUCCGGAUUUAUUGGGUUUAAAGGGUGCGCAGGCGGAAUGUCAAGUCAGCGGUAAAAUUUCGGGGCUCAACCCCGUCGUGCCGUUGAAACUGGCGUUCUUGAGUGCGCGAGAAGUAUGCGGAAUGCGUGGUGUAGCGGUGAAAUGCAUAGAUAUCACGCAGAACUCCGAUUGCGAAGGCAGCAUACCGGCGCGCAACUGACGCUCAUGCACGAAAGCGUGGGUAUCGAACAGGAUUAGAUACCCCCGUAGGA
RNAcentral lists this ribosomal RNA (466 nucleotides) under uncultured bacterium. RNAcentral's name for it is "bacterial SSU rRNA". It matches the Rfam family "Bacterial small subunit ribosomal RNA", at positions 331 to 794 of the family's 1533-position model. The record is from RNAcentral.